This is a long non-coding RNA of Clupea harengus (Atlantic herring), 360 nucleotides long. The record is from Ensembl. Lineage: Eukaryota; Metazoa; Chordata; Actinopteri; Clupeiformes; Clupeidae.
GGGCUCUGUUUAAUAUUUAAAAUUUGUAUUAUAAAAAUAAAAGGCAGCUUUAUCAAACAGGGGAGCCUGAACAACAAACACGAUUCUAAUGCUUUUGAUAAGAUAGGUGUCGGUUCUGUUGAUAGGUGUCGGUUCUGUUGAUUGGUGUCGGUUCUGUUGCUAGGUGUCGGUUCUGUUGAUAGGUGUCGGUUCUGUUGAUAGGUGUCAGUUCUGUUGCUAGGUGUCGGUUCUGUUGAUAGGUGUCUGUUCUGUUGCUAGGUGUCGGUUCUGUUGAUAGGUGUCGGUUCUGUUGAUUGGUGUCGGUUCUGUUGAUAGGUGUCGGUUCUGAUGGGCAUAAAAGCUAAGACAUUUCAAGUUGUG